This 1254-nucleotide long non-coding RNA is filed under the name Vulpes vulpes (red fox). Its description in RNAcentral is "lncRNA (ENSVVUG00000000477.1)". Lineage: Eukaryota; Metazoa; Chordata; Mammalia; Carnivora; Canidae. The record is from RNAcentral.
UGCUAGUGUCCCAGCUAUCCUGGAAAACACUGGUUGAGACUUCAUUUGUGCACACUCAUGGGUGCACAGGCCAGGUGGUCACGGGUGCACAAGAGCUCUCUUCCCACCCCCUAGUGCCCAGGCCCAGCCAUGCUGCUCUGUGCUCUUGGAGGAGACCGAGGACAAGGGAAGCUGCUGCUCAUGCUGUUGACCCCAGCUCUGGUAAAGGAUCUGGCGGCAGCUCCCUGACUUCCCUUAAUGGAGGUGGAGGUGAGCUCGAGCUUCAGGGAGCCUUGGGCUGUGGAAGUUGUGUGGCUCCGACACCCACCUAUGGAGAAGGAUCUGGGUGCCCCUGGUCACCAGGUGGCCACUUCAUAAAUGGCGGCCUGACAUCCAGGAGGAAGCCAAUCCUUCUCAGGUCUGGACUUGUCAGUCAGAAGGAAUACCCUGACCCCAGCCACCAAGCAAUAAAGCAGGCCAGGCCUUGUGGGAGGUCACAUGCUUAUGUUCUAGCCAGAAACCCUACUGAGGACCCAGCCAACAACUGGCAUGAACCCCAGAAGAACCUCAAGAUUCCUGCAGCCCCAACCACUGUCUGAUGUAGCAUUAGAAUUAAAGGCGAACAUAGCCUAUUGGUGACUGAACAGUUGGACCCUUGCCUGGUGUGGAAGUUCCCACAGUUGGUAUCAAAAGAGCUGUGAGCAGAGGGACAGUUUUGCUGGAGUCACCUUGGUCACCCACGCCUCCCCAUGGAGGUGGGGGGGACACUUGCUUGCUGCCACCCCAAGCUGCAUGAAAAUGCUUCAAUGAACAGGCCUCUGCCUAAUGUGAGUCAGAAGCUGUCAAGUCGUUUCUCCUUUUUCUUCCCUUUGUCCUCCUUCACGUUAUUCUCUUUUCUGGAAAAUGAAAGAGUAGUUCCUGUACAUCAGUAUUUAAGAGAGGCUGCGACCCAGACCUUGCUUCAACGCUGUUUUAGCGGAUUCCCUAGGCUCAGGUACAUAGCACUUUAACAUAGUGUAGUAGAGGCAAUUUGCAUCUGUAUUUCUUUUGUCCCUGGAGAUGUUGAAGAGAAUUUAAGAAACUUAAAUUUCCAGGUCGGGGACACUUGAGUGGCUUAGUUGGUUAAGAUCUGCCUUCAGCCUCAGGUCAUGAUCUCAGGGUCCUGGGAUCGAGCCCUGUAUCAGGCUCUCUGCUCAGUGGAGAGCCUGCUUCUCCCUCUCUGUUUUCUCUCUCUGUCUCUCUCAAAUAAAUAAAAUCUUAAAAAAAAUAUUUCCA